Molecule: ribosomal RNA, 332 nt
Filed under: uncultured Rubrobacterales bacterium
Lineage: Bacteria; Bacillati; Actinomycetota; Rubrobacteria; Rubrobacterales
Description: bacterial SSU rRNA
Rfam family: Bacterial small subunit ribosomal RNA
Source: RNAcentral
CGUGUAGGCGGCUCGAUAAGUCCGCUCUGAAAGUCCAGGGCUCAACCCUGGGAUGCGGGUGGAUACUGUCGGGCUCGAGUCCGGAAGAGGCGAGUGGAAUUCCUGGUGUAGCGGUGAAAUGCGCAGAUAUCAGGAGGAACACCAAUGGCGAAGGCAGCUCGCUGGGACGUGACUGACGCUGAGACGCGAAAGCGUGGGGAGCAAACAGGAUUAGAUACCCUGGUAGUCCACGCCGUAAACGAUGGGCACUAGGUGUGGGAGGUGUCGACUCCUCCCGUGCCGAAGCUAACGCAUUAAGUGCCCCGCCUGGGGAGUACGGCCGCAAGGCUAAA